Molecule: ribosomal RNA, 1401 nt
Filed under: Triticum aestivum (bread wheat)
Lineage: Eukaryota; Viridiplantae; Streptophyta; Magnoliopsida; Poales; Poaceae
Description: partial small subunit ribosomal RNA
Source: RNAcentral
AUGCUUGAUCUCAUUGACCGCCUCGAGUGGCAGAGUCAUAGGAAGCAGGCAGCUGACCUCCUCCCACAUACCAAGGAUGCAGUCUAUGAUGCUGAGGACCUCCUCGAUGAGUUUGAUUAUCAUGCUAUCAAGUUGGGGGUUGAGCAGAGCAAGAAUUCUGGGCAAGAUCACAUGGAAGGUGUUUUUCUACAGUUCUACAACAGUAUCAAGGAGUGUGGCCACUUCAACAAAGUGAAGGAAAUACAAGUUAAGCUAGAUCAUAUAUAUAAACAGUCCAGGGAUUUGAGCUUGCAUCAAGCACCACAGAAGUUUGACAGAUCUGUCAGGCCAGAAACAUGUUCUUUCUCCGAGGAGCCACAAAUAUUUGGUCGUGAGAAAGAACUAGAGGAGUUGGUGCAAAAGCUAGGAGUACUUGUGCGCAAGAGAGGCAGGACCGAUGGUGAAGAAAGAAUGACGGAAUUGCCUGUGUUGCCAAUAGUUGGCAUGGGGGGUGUCGGAAAGACAACUAUGGCCCAACAAAUCUGUAGUGAUGCAAAGGUGAAAGCACAUUUUGACUGCAUAAUUUGGACAUGUGUUUCAGAUGAUUUUGGCAUAAAGACGUUAGCAAGAGAGAUUUUGCAGCACUUGGGACAACAAACACCAUCUGAUAAUUUGAAUAUCCUUAUGACAAAUCUAGCUAGUUGUGUCAAGUCGAAAAAGUUCUUGCUUGUCCUUGAUGACAUGUGGGAUGAUAUCUUGAAACAAGGAGAGUCGAUAUGGAAGAGAUUUUGUAAACCUUUGGAAAAUGGCCUUCAGGGAAGUAUGGUUCUGGUCACCACUAGAUCUCCCGAGGUUGCUAAUCUAGUUGGCACCAUGAGACACUAUGAAUUAGCGGGUUUGCCUGAUGCUGUUUUCUGGGAGUUCUUCAAACUAUGUGCAUUUGGAUCCAGUAGUCCUCCCAACUACCUAGAGUUGGAGUGCAUUGGUAAAGCUAUACUCCCAAAGUUGAAGGGUUCUCCUUUGGCCGCCAAAACUCUUGGGCGCUUGUUGCAUAGGGGACUAAACACAACACAUUGGAAAUAUAUAUUGGAAAGUGAGCUGUGGCAAUUAGAACAACAUGCGACUGACAUUUUGCCUGCCCUUCGACUGAGCUAUAUGUACCUACCACCGCAUUUGAAGAGAUGCUUCUCAAUUUGUGCAAUGUAUCCCAAGGAUUACAUAUUUGAAAAGGAGGUUUUAGUCGAUAUUUGGAUAGCACAAGGGUAUGCGGAACCUCAAGAUGCAUCCUUUUGCUUUGAUGACCUUGCAAGUCGGUCCUUUUUCAGUAGAGUAUCUAAGAAGAGAGAAAAGUUUGUAAUUCAUGACUUGAUUCAUGAUACAGCACAGCUAGUCUCAAAGGAUGAGUGCUUCAUUAUAAGGCAU